AGAGUUUGAUUCUGGCUCAGGAUGAACGCUGGCGGCGUGCUUAACACAUGCAAGUCGAACGGAGUUUUAACGGAAGUUUCGGAUGGAAGUUAGAACUUAGUGGCGGACGGGUGAGUAACGCGUGGGUAACCUGCCUCAUACAGGGGGAUAACAGUUAGAAAUGACUGCUAACACCGCAUAAUAUAGCGAAACCGCAUGAUUUUGCUAUCAAAUAUUUAUAGGUAUGAGAUGGGCCCGCGUCUGAUUAGCUAGUUGGUGGGGUAAAAGCCUACCAAGGCGACGAUCAGUAGCCGGCUUGAGAGAGUGACCGGCCACAUUGGGACUGAGACACGGCCCAAACUCCUACGGGAGGCAGCAGUGGGGAAUAUUGGACAAUGGGGGAAACCCUGAUCCAGCGAACCGCCGCGUGAGUGAAGAAGUAUUUCGGUAUGUAAAGCUCUAUCAGCAGGGAAGAUAAUGACAGUACCUGACUAAGAAGCCCCGGCUAACUACGUGCCAGCCGCUGC
This 506-nucleotide ribosomal RNA is filed under the name uncultured bacterium. Its description in RNAcentral is "bacterial SSU rRNA". It matches the Rfam family "Bacterial small subunit ribosomal RNA", at positions 8 to 518 of the family's 1533-position model. The record is from RNAcentral.